Long non-coding RNA from Apis dorsata (giant honeybee), 544 nucleotides. RefSeq lists it as uncharacterized. Lineage: Eukaryota; Metazoa; Arthropoda; Insecta; Hymenoptera; Apidae. The record is from RefSeq and is a predicted model, not a curated record. The transcript is spliced from 2 exons.
GGAUAAUGAUUAACACUGAAGUGGAUACCGGUGACACAAUAUGCGCAUGCGUUCUAUUACUUUCGAUCGUUUAGCAAAAUUUGAAUUGAAGAUUGUUGUCUUGGACUUUAUAACUGAAUUGAAUAAGCUAAGGAAAUAAUAAUAAAAAAUUAUGGUAUAAUUUAAUUUUUCAAUAAAAUUACAUAUGAUUCUUAUUUAUCAAUUAUAAUGCUAAUUGCGUUAAUGCAAUAUUUUUGCAUCAAUUGUCAUAAUACGACAAAGGUGUACGCAUUAGAUGCCUAUACAGGACAAUGGGAAAUCGAUAUGGCUUGGAUAUGGUACGUGUCACUCGUACGUCUGAAAGCGUUUAUUCACGUAGUCAAUGCGUGAUUGAGUGAUGAGUGCAGCACGUCGAAUUCUGAAGAAUUGCAUUCGGCAGAAUUGGAAGCGGAGAUCAGGCAUUACGCCAGCAUUGCGAAAUGUCGGGAAUGGGGAUCUCAUGAUCUUGACUAGGAACAACGACCUGCCAGCCCCAUUCGUAUCUCUACGGUGAAUGAGAGAGAGA